RNAcentral lists this ribosomal RNA (370 nucleotides) under uncultured organism. Its description in RNAcentral is "bacterial SSU rRNA". It matches the Rfam family "Bacterial small subunit ribosomal RNA", at positions 526 to 896 of the family's 1533-position model. The record is from RNAcentral.
CGUAGGGUGCAAGCGUUAAUCGGAAUUACUGGGCGUAAAGCGUGCGCAGGCGGUUCGGAAAGAAAGAUGUGAAAUCCCAGGGCUUAACCUUGGAACUGCAUUUUUAACUACCGGGCUAGAGUGUGUCAGAGGGGGGUGGAAUUCCACGUGUAGCAGUGAAAUGCGUAGAUAUGUGGAGGAACACCGAUGGCGAAGGCAGCCCCCUGGGAUAACACUGACGCUCAUGCACGAAAGCGUGGGGAGCAAACAGGAUUAGAUACCCUGGUAGUCCACGCCCUAAACGAUGUCAACUAGCUGUUGGGGCCUUCGGGCCUUGGUAGCGCAGCUAACGCGUGAAGUUGACCGCCUGGGGAGUACGGUCGCAAGAUUA